Molecule: long non-coding RNA, 472 nt
Organism: Prunus persica (peach)
Lineage: Eukaryota; Viridiplantae; Streptophyta; Magnoliopsida; Rosales; Rosaceae
Exons: 2
Source: RefSeq, a predicted model, not a curated record
AAAACAUAUUCUCCCCAUCAUCAUAUUCUCUCCAUCAUUUUCCACAAGAGUCCGGAGAACCUUUUUAUUAAUGGUGAAGCAGUACCAUAUGAUCCCAAGUACUGUGACGAAUGGAUAAGAAACAAUAGCCGAGCAAACGAGAGAAACAGACGCUAAAUCAUCUAGAUGGGCAAAUACAACCUCAGAUUCUUUCAUUGAAAUACUUGUCAUUCCUCUCAAUUGGUUUGGUGGCCCUAGAUUGACCAAUAUCACAGGAGCAAUGAAAAUACUUACGUGUUGCACAAGCCUUCGCGCAUUCUUCCUUUCAGAAUCCUUUAUAGCUGCAUCGCUUUCAAGCUAACUAUAAGAAAUUCAAAAAAUUAGAUGCAAGUGGUUAUUGAUUACUGAUUACUUACUUUCGAUGGAUAUUGUAUUCAAACAAUAUUUGUAAUUAUAACGUAGUUUGGAAACAAAAACAUUAGUUGGUUGCUAA